RNAcentral lists this long non-coding RNA (580 nucleotides) under Trifolium pratense (red clover). RNAcentral describes it as "long non-coding RNA (TPRA_LNC004895)". The record is from RNAcentral. Lineage: Eukaryota; Viridiplantae; Streptophyta; Magnoliopsida; Fabales; Fabaceae.
CUUGUAUAGGUUUAAGAAAGAUUUUUGUUUGUAUAUCAUCACUAUUAUUUGGUGCAAGGCUUGUGUUUAUCCAUGCAACUAAAGAAUUUGAAAUGACACAAAAUAAUAUAUCAAUUCACAAGAAUUUGGUUUUAUUGAAGUCAGGUAGGUUCUCAAUCCUACUCUGCUAUGUUAUCAUUCCCAUAAAAUUGGUGCAUGGCUUGUGUUUGUGCAUAUAAUCCAAUUCCAAGUAUUUGAGAUGACAAAAAACAAUGGAAGGUUUUCAUAGAGGACUACACAAAAUUUGAUAUUACAUGCCCCCGCCUUGUGGAAAAUUCGCCAUGAAAGAGACCUGAGAUGGCCUGCUUCAUAUGUUUCAGACAAGCUCUUAGCAUAUCAAAUAUUUUGUUCUUCUUUCUAUAAGAAAAGUUGUAGUUAUUAAUUCUUGGAAGAUGCUGCAACUUUAUCUGGAUAUGCUACUGCCACAUUGUUGAUCCAACUGUAGAAUCUGACUGAUACAUCAAUUGGAGAAAUGAGAAGCAGUUGAUAGAAGCAUAUUGCAUAAGGCAUGUAAAAAAGUUGCGAGCUUAGAUACAAGAUA